GUGCGAAGAACUGAAUAGCAAAGGAUUGGAAGAAGAGGAAAUCAACAAGGAGCAUGACCUCCUAAAGGAAUCUUUUACCAUACUAUGGACCGAGGAAGAGAGAAGAUUAUACGAUUGGAGUUUGGCAAGAAGUGGAAAGCCUGAGCGAUAUGUCUGGCCUUUCGAAGUCGAUCCCAUGGAGCUAGCACCAGAUCCUCCAAAGGAACCAGAAGAUGAGUUCCCAACAAAGCUGGUUGGCUACUUUUUCCUGGCAUGGUUCAUACUAUCUGUUGCCUUGUCAGUAACCCUCAACAGAUGAUGAGUAGCUGUAGUUGUAAUCCAGCACUCCUUUCGGC
RNAcentral lists this unclassified non-coding RNA (335 nucleotides) under Hevea brasiliensis (rubber tree). Lineage: Eukaryota; Viridiplantae; Streptophyta; Magnoliopsida; Malpighiales; Euphorbiaceae. The record is from RNAcentral.